GACAGAGGGUGCAAACGUUGUUCGGAAUUACUGGGCGUAAAGCGCGUGUAGGCGGCGAUGCAAGUCGGAUGUGAAAGCCCAUGGCUCAACCAUGGAAGUGCACCCGAAACUGCGUCGCUAGAGUCUCGGAGAGGAAGGUGGAAUGCUUGGUGUAGAGGUGAAAUUCGUAGAUAUCAAGCGGAACACCGGUGGCGAAGGCGGCCUUCUGGACGAGUACUGACGCUGAGACGCGAAAGCGUGGGUAGCAAACAGG
This 253-nucleotide ribosomal RNA is filed under the name uncultured bacterium. RNAcentral describes it as "partial 16S ribosomal RNA". It matches the Rfam family "Bacterial small subunit ribosomal RNA", at positions 524 to 776 of the family's 1533-position model. The record is from RNAcentral.